This is a non-coding RNA of Pelobates cultripes (western spadefoot toad), 683 nucleotides long. The record is from the annotation of a GenBank genome assembly. NCBI's taxonomy places the organism in Eukaryota, Metazoa, Chordata, Amphibia, Anura, Pelobatidae.
GGGCUGAACCAGUCAGUAUCGGCCCAGAAGAAGGGGAGGCCUGUGUAUUUAUAGGCCAGGUAACCUUUCCCACAACUACAGGCUCCGGCUACAGGCUCAGCCUUCCCAUAUAGCCGGACCUUAAAUCACUUACUACUAUUAUAUUUUUCCAUAACACUCCUUUAAUUGAAGUGUAGAUAAAUACAAAAUGUCCUGUUUCACUAAACUAGCUCAAAUGGGCAUGUGAAAUGAGAAAGAAGGGGGUUAUUAUGAAUACAAGGCCAUACUGAAUAUCAUUCUCAGUACCUAAAGGACACUCUAAGCAUCAAAAUAACUUUAGCUUAAUGAAGCGGUUUUGGCGUAUAGAUCAUGUCUCUGCAGUCUCACUGCUCAGUUCUCUGCCAUUUCGGAGUUAAAUCACUUUGUUUAUAUAGACCUAGCCACACCUCCAUGCAUGUGACUUAUGCAGCCUUCCUAAACACUUCCUGAAAAAGAAGUCUAAGACUUCCGUUAUUGCACAGUCUGUUGAAUUUAGUGCUUACCUCCUGUUCUGUUAAUAGCCUGCUAGAGCCUACAACAGUUUCCUGUGUCUGAUUAAAGUUCAAUUAACAGAUCAUGAGAUAAGGUCUACUAAGUGAGCAAACUGUGCUGUAAAAAUCAAACCUUUUUUUCCCAUAGAGACUGUAUAAGUCAGAGCCAGGGAG